Molecule: ribosomal RNA, 165 nt
Filed under: uncultured bacterium
Lineage: Bacteria
Description: partial 16S ribosomal RNA
Rfam family: Bacterial small subunit ribosomal RNA
Source: RNAcentral
CUAGUAAUCGUAGGUCAGCAUACCGCGGUGAAUACGUUCCCGGGCCUUGUACACACCGCCCGUCACACCAUGGGAGCCGGUAAUACCCGAAGUCAGUAGUCCAACCUCGUGAGGACGCUGCCGAAGGUAGGAUUGGCGACUGGGGUGAAGUCGUAACAAGGUACC